Molecule: transfer RNA, 67 nt
Filed under: Eudyptes sclateri (Erect-crested penguin)
Lineage: Eukaryota; Metazoa; Chordata; Aves; Sphenisciformes; Spheniscidae
Description: tRNA-Cys
Source: RNAcentral
GGUCCUGUAGUGAAGUUCAUGUUGAGUUGCAAGCUCAUUGAUGUGUACUAAGAGUGCGCCAGGACCU